This 301-nucleotide ribosomal RNA is filed under the name uncultured bacterium. Its description in RNAcentral is "partial 16S ribosomal RNA". It matches the Rfam family "Bacterial small subunit ribosomal RNA", at positions 509 to 807 of the family's 1533-position model. The record is from RNAcentral.
CAGCAGCCGCGGUAAUACGGGGGGAGCGAGCGUUAUCCAUCAUGAUUGGGCGUAAAGCGUGCGUAGGCGGCUUUUUAAGUCGGAUGUGAAAUCCCUGAGCUUAACUUAGGAAUUGCAUUCGAUACUGGGAAGCUAGAGUAUGGGAGAGGAUGGUAGAAUUCCAGGUGUAGCGGUGAAAUGCGUAGAGAUCUGGAGGAAUACCGAUGGCGAAGGCAGCCAUCUGGCCUAAUACUGACGCUGAGGUACGAAAGCAUGGGGAGCAAACAGGAUUAGAUACCCCCGUAGUCCCUGUCUCUUAUAC